GAUGAACGCUGGCGGCGUGCUUACACAUGCAAGUCGAACGAAGCUGCCUGGAGGAAGUUUUUGGAUGGAAUUUAGGUAGACUUAGUGGCGGACGGGUGAGUAACGCGUGGAUAACCUGCCUUAUACAGGGGGAUAACGGAGAGAAAUUUCCGCUAACACCGCAUAAGACCACAGCACCGCAUGGUGCAGGGGCAAAAUAUUUAUAGGUAUAAGAUGGAUCCGCGUCCGAUUAGCUAGUUGGUGAGGUAAAGGCCCACCAAGGCGACGAUCGGUAGCCGGCCUGAGAGGGUGAACGGCCACAUUGGGACUGAGACACGGCCCAAACUCCUACGGGAGGCAGCAGUGGGGAAUAUUGGACAAUGGGGGAAACCCUGAUCCAGCGACGCCGCGUGAGUGAAGAAGUAUUUCGGUAUGUAAAGCUCUAUCAGCAGGGAAGAAAAUGACGGUACCUGACUAAGAAGCCCCGGCUAACUACGUGCCAGCAGCCGCGGUAAUACGUAGGGGGCAAGCGUUAUCCGGAUUUACUGGGUGUAAAGGGAGCGCAGACGGCAAUGCAAGUCUGAAGUGAAAGGCGUGGGCUCAACCCAUGAACUGCUUUGGAAACUGUAUAGCUUGAGUGUCGGAGGGGUAAGCGGAAUUCUUAGUGUAGCGGUGAAAUGCGUAGAUAUUAGGAGGAACACCGGAGGCGAAGGCGGCUUACUGGACGACAACUGACGUUGAGGCUCGAAGGCGUGGGGAGCAAACAGG
Molecule: ribosomal RNA, 747 nt
Filed under: uncultured Lachnospiraceae bacterium
Lineage: Bacteria; Bacillati; Bacillota; Clostridia; Lachnospirales; Lachnospiraceae
Description: bacterial SSU rRNA
Rfam family: Bacterial small subunit ribosomal RNA
Source: RNAcentral